RNAcentral lists this non-coding RNA (25 nucleotides) under Rattus norvegicus (Norway rat). The record is from RNAcentral. Lineage: Eukaryota; Metazoa; Chordata; Mammalia; Rodentia; Muridae.
CACCACUUACAAAUCAGACUUUGGC